UGAGGCAAGCAAGGAGGCGGCGGAGGCGGCAGAGAGCGGCAAGUAGUGGAAACGUUGCUUCUGAGGGGAGCCCAAGACGACCAGUUCUAACGAGUUCAAGCUGAACCAGCUACCCGAGGAUGGCAUCUCCUCGGUGAAGUUUAGCCCCAACACCUCCCAGUUCCUGCUUGUCUCCUCCUGGGACACGUCCGUGCGCCUCUACGGUGUGCCGGCCAACUCCGUGCGGCUCAAGUAGCAGCGCACCGGCGCCGUCCUGGACUGCGCCUUCUACCAUCCAAUGCAUGCCUGGAGUGGAGGACUAGAUCUUCAAUUGAAAAUGCAUGAUUUGAACAUUGAUCAAGAAAAUCUCGUUGGGACCCAUGAUGCCCCUAUCAGAUGUGUUGCAUACUGUACAGAAGUGAAUGUGAUGGUCACUGGAAAUUGGGAUCAGACAGUUUAGUUGUGGGAUUCCAGAACUCCUUGUAAUGCCGGGACCUUCUUUCAGCCUGAAAAGGUAUAUACCCUCUCAGUGUCUGGAGACCGGCUGAUUGUGGGAACAACAGGCCGCAGUGUUGGUGUGAGACUUACGGAACAUGAGUUACGUGCAGCAGCGCAGGGAGUCCAGCCUGAAAUACCAGACUCGUUGCAUACGAGCGUUUCCAAACAAGCAGGCUUAUGUAUUAAGCUCUAUUGAAGGCCGAGUGGCCGUUGAGUAUUUGGACCCAAGCCCUGAGGUACAGAAGAAGAAGUAUGCCUUCAAAUGUCACAGACUAAAAGAAAAUAAUAUUCAGCAGAUUUACCCAGUCAAUGCCAUUUCUUUUCACAAUAUCCACAAUACAUUUGCCACAAGUCGUUCUGAUGGCUCUGGAAGUAUUUGCGAUCCAUUUAACAAAAAGCGACUGUGCCAGUUCCAUCGGUACCCCAUGAGCAUCGCAUCACUUGCCUUCAGUAGUGAUGGGACUAUGCUUGCAAUAACAUCAUCAUAUAUGUAUGAAAUGGAUGACACGGAACACCCUGAAGAUGGUAUCUUCAUUUGCCAAGUGACAGAUGCAGAAACAAAACCCAAGUCACCAUGUACUUGACAAGAUUUCAUUUGCUUCAGUGCCAUGUUGAUGAUAAUAAAACAAUUUGUGCUCCCCAAUGGUGGAUUUGUUAAUAUUAAAGAAACCAGGGAAAAUAUUAAUUUUAAUAUUAUAACAACCUGAAAAUAAUGGAAAAGAGGUUUUUGAAUUUUUUAAAAAAUAAACAGUUUCUUAAGUGCAUGAGAUGGUUUGAUGGUUUGCUGCAUUAAAGGUAUUUGGGCAAACAAAAUUGGAGGGCAGUGACUGCAGUUUUGAGAAUCAGUUUUGACCUUGAUGAUUUUUUGUUUCCACUGUGGAAAUGAAUGUUUGUAGAUAAAUGUAAUAAAAAUCCCUUUGCAUUCUUUCUGGAUCUUAAAUGGUAGAGGAAAACGCUCAUGAGCCAUUUGUUUCUUUUGCUGGUUAUAGUUGCUAAUUCUAAAGCUGCUUCAGACUGCUUCAUGAGGAGGUUAAUCUACAAUUAAACAGUAUUUCCUCUUGGCCGUCCAUUAUUUUCUGACGCAGAUGGUUCAUCAUUUCCUGGGCUGUUAAACAAAGCGAGGUUAAGGUUAGAUUCUUGGGAAUCAGCUAGUUUUCCAUCGUAUUAGGGUGCAGAAGGAAAACUAAUAAGAAAACCUCCUAAUAUCAUUUUGUGACUGUAAAUGAUUAUUUAUUAGCAAACAAUUGAUCCCAGAAGGGCAAAUUGUUUGAGUCAGUAAUGAGCUGAGAAAA
RNA transcript from Mandrillus leucophaeus (drill), 1769 nucleotides. It is a transcript of the gene named mitotic checkpoint protein BUB3 pseudogene, with no coding region annotated. NCBI's taxonomy places the organism in Eukaryota, Metazoa, Chordata, Mammalia, Primates, Cercopithecidae. The record is from RefSeq and is a predicted model, not a curated record. The transcript has a single exon.